UUUGGUGUUCACUGGAGCUCUGUUCCCAGUAUUCGUUCAGCUUCAUCCUGGUCAAUGUCGACCGUAACAUACAUCAAUAGUGAAUAAAAAUGUAAAGAUAGAACAAGUGUCGUUAGUGUCUUCUUUUGAUAGUUUGUCGAUAUCUUGUAAAAAGAUGCAGCCUAAUCUUAUUCAUUUAUGCAUAUAUCAAAAUGUAGUAUUCAUCGUGGUGUUAAUGAUUAUUUAAAUACAGCCAGUUUCUGGUGUGGUUCGCCGCACAAGAAAAUAGGCCGUAUUUCACAUCCGACAAUUUCAAUAAUUACCACCUAAUAUAUAGUACAAAAAAUAUAUACUAAAUUAAAAAGAUAAUGAAAAUUCAAGCGUGUUUAUAUAUGUAUAAAGAUGUAGGAAAUAAACAAAGCAUCCACUAACAAAAUUACAAAAAUAUUUAAUGAGUAAUUGAGAUUCGAUAUGAUUAUAAAAAGGGGUUGAUAAUUAAAAAUAAGUAAAUGUAGAUAGGAUAAAUUAUAAUGCAAGUAAAAAUGUAAUGAAACAUCAUCUCUAUGUAGGGAAACUUUUACUAUUCGAACGGCUGGCGCGAUUUCAAGAAUAAAAACGAAAUCAAGAAUAAAAAUAUAUAUAAACAAAUAAAAAAAAUGGAAAGAAGGGACAAAAACAAGAACAGAAUAGAGAACCUAAAAAAUCAACAUAGUAUAAGAUAAGGAUCGAUUAUUGUAAACAUUACCGGGGAAGAACAAUAUUGAUCCUUCGCAGGAAUGACGGGUAACUGGAUCGAAGAGCCGAAAAACAGAUCGAAUAAUCAACUGGACAAACGAAAAUAGAAUAUAACAACGGGUGAACGAUAACUAUUUUACAGAAACAAAAGGAAACAGGGUUGGCCGAUCAAGAGGACGGACGACAUCCAGGAAGAGUGACACAAACCGAAGAGCAUUUGAAGUGGCCGAAGGAAAAAACGCAAGACUGAAUAGAGUUACGGAAAUGACUAGAAUAUCAUUUGACCAGAAAUACUUCCCUUACAGCUAGAAGAAGGAGGUAGUAUGGAAGAGGAACGAGGGAAUGAAAAGGUGGAAGGUUUGGGGAAUGAAAUGGGUGCGACAGGAAGGUAGUCGAAUGAAGGAUGAAAGUAGUCGAUGAGUAGAAGAAGUUAGUGGUUUGUAG
Molecule: long non-coding RNA, 1158 nt
Filed under: Zostera marina
Lineage: Eukaryota; Viridiplantae; Streptophyta; Magnoliopsida; Alismatales; Zosteraceae
Description: long non-coding RNA (ZMAR_LNC002706)
Source: RNAcentral